UUCCAAGGGGUCUUUGUCGAGGUGUGUAGUCCACAGCAGCAGUGGUCAAAUGAGGAAUUGGUGAGGCAAUGGGAAGUUUGAAUAAUCAUAAAAAUAAAAACCAAAGAUAAAAUUGUAGAGUGAGGUAAGCUGGCAGAAGCCCAGUGCACUUUAAAAGGCUGCAAUGGGUCGUCACUGUCCUAACUAAAUGAUAUAUGGAAAAAUCCCAUAAUAAUAUCCAGCAAUAGUUAUCUUGUUGUUAGGGAAAAAUAAAUAGGUCUGUGGCUGGAAGGCAGCCCAGUAAUCUCCACGUCUUUUUUUUUCCCAACAGUGUAUUGUUCUGAUAUUCUUUGGGACUGGGUUAGGAGGAAGUGCCAGAGCCCUUUAUAUUAAGAAGCAUCCUACGACAAGCCAGAAAGAGACUAGCAAACUCCUUCCAUUCCUUGGUCCUGGCUUGAGCAAGCAUUUAUUUAGCAUGUGCUGUAUAUCCAGCAUGUACUAGAUGCAUACUCUGACCAAUUAGAUUAUAAAUUCUUUGAGAGCAGGCUCUGAUUUCUACUUGUCUGGUGUAAAUCCCAUCUCUUGCCAGUCAUUGCCCUUGAUGUAAUAAUAAUUGUACAUAUGUCUAAUUCUUUGACUUUAAAGAGAGUAAAUAUCAAAUCUCCAUUCUGUUAAUGCUUUAUUUUUCUGUUACGACACAGACAAGUCUUCCCUCUUCAAAUUUAAGGGCCAGUGACUGGAA
RNAcentral lists this long non-coding RNA (721 nucleotides) under Bos taurus (domestic cattle). RNAcentral describes it as "long non-coding RNA NONBTAT010803". Lineage: Eukaryota; Metazoa; Chordata; Mammalia; Artiodactyla; Bovidae. The record is from RNAcentral.